UGGUGCUUCACUAUCAUCUUCUAAGAGAAUGCCUCUCUUCUUUGUUGGGGUUUCUCCUGUUCUAAUCAUGCUGUUAAUUUCCUUUAGCCUCUGGGGAGAGGUGGAAAGAAAAAAUUCUCAUUAUUGCGGCAACAAAAAUCCCAAUGUUUUUACUAGUCCCAUUACUGCAGGCUUACAAAUGCCUUAUUUUUGGAGCUGUGUACUAUGGAGUGCUUUCUAUAACAAACUAACCCUUUUAACCAUUGUGUUGGUCCCAUUACUGUAUUCCAGUCUUUCUCAAGCAAGCCUUUUGUGUAAGUUUUUUGAUGCUCUGCAGGUGCACGAGGAGCUGAAAGGCCUUCCACCUGUAAUUAUGGCAUGCUAUCUUGCACCGUAGGUGCAGAAUUCCUAUCCUGAAUGAAGACGCUGCUUGGAGAAGGCUUCUACUUCAUUGUGGGUGACUGGAGAUGACAGGAUUCAGCCUGUUCCAUGUUCACUUGGUGAGUUCUGCUGGCUGCUGCUAUCACUGCUGCCAGACUGGCGGCGGCGUCUCCUGCCUUUUAUCAGGACACUCCGGUACACCUGCAGGGAGACAAGAGCAUCACAGUGAAACCUUAAAGAUGGAUACGUUCAAGCAGCUGUUAGCCACAGAUGUAAAUCUUCUCAACUAGUGACAGCUGUCCUGUUCAUCUACUCUGACAGUGAGAAAUUUCUGCACAGGAAACCAACUCUUCAGGUAUGGUCACAGUUUGCCCAUUAUUGGCUGUUACAGUGGCGGUUGCUACUGUAACCAAUGUCUGGCCGGGCACUGGAGUUACUGACA
This is a non-coding RNA of Phasianus colchicus (ring-necked pheasant), 802 nucleotides long. NCBI's taxonomy places the organism in Eukaryota, Metazoa, Chordata, Aves, Galliformes, Phasianidae. The record is from RefSeq and is a predicted model, not a curated record.